CAGCCGCCGCGGGAAUACAGAGGGUGCGAGCGUUAAUCGGAUUUACUGGGCGUAAAGCGUGCGUAGGCGGCUUUUUAAGUCGGAUGUGAAAUCCCUGAGCUUAACUUAGGAAUUGCAUUCGAUACUGGGAAGCUAGAGUAUGGGAGAGGAUGGUAGAAUUCCAGGUGUAGCGGUGAAAUGCGUAGAGAUCUGGAGGAAUACCGAUGGCGAAGGCAGCCAUCUGGCCUAAUACUGACGCUGAGGUACGAAAGCAUGGGGAGCAAACAGGAUUAGAGACCCGCGUAGUCCCUGUCUCUUAUAC
Molecule: ribosomal RNA, 301 nt
Filed under: uncultured bacterium
Lineage: Bacteria
Description: partial 16S ribosomal RNA
Rfam family: Bacterial small subunit ribosomal RNA
Source: RNAcentral